GAUGAAGGUGAAUCGAGAGGUUUGCUGGACGUAUCAGAAGUGCGAAUGCUGACAUAAGUAACGAUAAAACGGGUGAAAAACCCGUUCGCCGGAAGACCAAGGGUUCCUGUCCAACGUUAAUCGGGGCAGGGUGAGUCGGCCCCUAAGGCGAGGCUGAAAAGCGUAGUCGAUGGGAAACAGGUUAAUAUUCCUGUACUUGGUAAAGCUGCGAUGUGGGGACGGAGUAGGUUAGGUUAUCGCACUGUUGGAUAUGUGCGUUUAAGUUGGUAGGUGGGAAGUUUAGGCAAAUCCGGACUUCUAUUAAACACUGAGAGAUGAUGACGAGGCUCUACGGAGCUGAAGUAACUGAUACCACACUUCCAGGAAAAGCCACUAAGCGACAGGCUUUACUAAACCGUACUGAAAACCGACACAGGUGGUCAGGUAGAGAAUACUCAGGCGCUUGAGAGAACUCGGGUGAAGGAACUAGGCAAAAUAGCACCGUAACUUCGGGAGAAGGUGCGCCGGCGUAGAUUGUAAGGGCUAGCCCCUGAAGGUUGAACCGGUCGAAGAUACCAGCUGGCUGCAACUGUUUAUUAAAAACACAGCACUCUGCAAACACGAAAGUGGAGGUAUAGGGUGUGAUGCCUGCCCGGUGCUGGAAGGUUAAUUGAUGGUGUAAUCGCAAGAGAAGCACCUGAUCGAAGCCCCAGUAAACGGCGGCCGUAACUAUAACGGUCCUAAGGUAGCGAAAUUCCUUGUCGGGUAAGUUCCGACCUGCACGAAUGGCAUAAUGAUGGCCAGGCUGUCUCCACCCGAGACUCAGUGAAAUUGAAAUCGCCGUGAAGAUGCGGUGUACCCGCGGCUAGACGGAAAGACCCCGUGAACCUUUACUAUAGCUUGACACUGAACAUUGAAUUUUGAUGUGUAGGAUAGGUGGGAGACUAAGAAGUAGUCACGCCAGUGAUUAUGGAGUCAUCCUUGAAAUACCACCCUUUAACGUUUGAUGUUCUAACGAAGAUUGCGGAACGCGGUCUCGGACAGUGUCUGGUGGGUAGUUUGACUGGGGCGGUCUCCUCCCAAAGCGUAACGGAGGAGCACGAAGGUUUGCUAAUCACGGUCGGACAUCGUGAGGUUAGUGCAAUGGUAUAAGCAAGCUUAACUGCGAGACAGACAAGUCGAGCAGGUACGAAAGUAGGUCAUAGUGAUCCGGUGGUUCUGAAUGGAAGGGCCAUCGCUCAACGGAUAAAAGGUACUCCGGGGAUAACAGGCUGAUACCGCCCAAGAGUUCAUAUCGACGGCGGUGUUUGGCACCUCGAUGUCGGCUCAUCACAUCCUGGGGCUGAAGUAGGUCCCAAGGGUAUGGCUGUUCGCCAUUUAAAGUGGUACGCGAGCUGGGUUUAGAACGUCGUGAGACAGUUCGGUCCCUAUCUGCCGUGGGCGUAGGAGAAUUGGUUGGGGCUGCUCCUAGUACGAGAGGACCGGAGUGGACGCACCACUGGUGUUCCGGUUGUGUCGCCAGACGCAUUGCCGGGUAGCUAAGUGCGGAAGAGAUAAGUGCUGAAAGCAUCUAAGCACGAAACUUGCCAAGAGAUGAGUUCUCCCUGUCUUUAAGACAGUAAGGGUUGU
Molecule: ribosomal RNA, 1608 nt
Filed under: Haemophilus influenzae
Lineage: Bacteria; Pseudomonadati; Pseudomonadota; Gammaproteobacteria; Pasteurellales; Pasteurellaceae
Description: bacterial LSU rRNA
Rfam family: Bacterial large subunit ribosomal RNA
Source: RNAcentral